This 270-nucleotide unclassified non-coding RNA is filed under the name plant metagenome. RNAcentral describes it as "partial contains small subunit ribosomal RNA, internal transcribed spacer 1, and 5.8S ribosomal RNA". The record is from RNAcentral.
UUUCCGUAGGUGAACCUGCGGAAGGAUCAUUAUCGUACAAAAUGUGAGGGGCAUGCGAGGGCUGUCGCUGACCCGAAAGGUCGUGCACGCCCGAGUGCCCUCACACACAUCCAUCUCACCCCUAUGUGCACCACCGCGUGGGUCCCCCUUUGGCUUGUUCGGAGGGGGGCUUACGUUUUCACACAAACUUUGUAUGCAGUGUAGAAUGUAUUUUUUGUUUUUGCGAUCACGCAAUCAAUACAACUUUCAACAAUGGAUCUCUUGGCUCUC